CCCGGCCCUGGCCCUCAGGCAGCGGUCCCCGAGGAGGCGGCGGCCAUCCCACUGGAUGGUUCCGGCGACCUGUGCCUGAGGACUGGGGCCCGAGGGCGACGUGGGAGCAGGGGCAAGCGGGCCGCUGCACCGCGGCGCAUGUGGAAUCUUAGUUUCCUGACCAGCGAUCGAACCCACACCCCCUGCAGUGGAAGAGCAGAGUCUUAACCACUGGACCGCCAGGGAAGUCCUACUCUUACUAUUUGAUCCAGCAACUGUAUUGCUUGGUAUUUACCCCAAAAGUUGAAAACUUAUAUUCACACAAAAAGCUGAACACGGAUGUUUACAGCACCUUUAUUCAUAAAUGCCAAAACUUGAAAGCAACCAAGAUAUCCUUUACUAGGUGAAUGGAUAAAUAAAGUGUGGUACACCCAGACAAGGGAAUAUUAUUCACUGCUAAAAAGAAAUGUGCUAUCAAGCCACGAAAAGACAUGGAGGAAUCUUAAAUACAUGUUACUAAGUGAAAGAAGCUGAUCUGAAAAUGCUACAUAUUGUAUGAUUCCAACUGUGUGGCAUGCUGGAAAAGCCAAAACUAUGGAAACAGUAAAAAGAUCAGUGGUUUCCGGGGGUUGGGUGUUUGGAGAGAUGAAUAGACAGAGCAGAGGAUUGUUAGGGAAGUGAAAAUACUCUGUAUGACACUAAAAUGAUGGAUGUAUAUUAUUAUAUAUUUGUCCAAACUCAUAGAAUGUGCAACAUCAAGAGUUAACCAUAAGGUAAACUAUGGGUUUUGGGUGGUUGUGAUGUGUUGGUGUAGGUUUAUCAAUUGCAACAAAUGUACCACUCAAGUAAGGGAUGUUGACAACGGGGGAGACUAUGCAUGUGUAAGGGGCAAGGAGUAUGUGAGAAAUCUCUGUCCCUCCCUCUCAGCUUUUCUGUGAAUCUAAAACUGCUCUAAAGAAAUAAAGAUUUUUCUAAAAAUUAACAAAAUAAA
Molecule: long non-coding RNA, 970 nt
Organism: Lagenorhynchus albirostris (white-beaked dolphin)
Lineage: Eukaryota; Metazoa; Chordata; Mammalia; Artiodactyla; Delphinidae
Exons: 2
Source: RefSeq, a predicted model, not a curated record